ACCCGCACAAGCGGUGGAUGAUGUGGAUUAAUUCGAUGCAACGCGAAAAACCUUACCCACCUUUGACAUGGCAGGAAUCCUAAAGAGAUUUUGGAGUGCUCGAAAGGGAACCUGCACACAGGUGCUGCAUGGCUGUCGUCAGCUCGUGUCGUGAGAUGUUGGGUUAAGUCCCGCAACGAGCGCAACCCUUGCCAUUAGUUGCUACGAAAGGGCACUCUAAUGGGACUGCCGGUGAACCAAACCGGGAAGGAAGGGUGGGGAUGACGUCAAGUCCUCAUGGCCCUUAUAGGGUGGGGCUACACACGUCAUACAAUGGCCGGUACAGAGGGUAGCCCAACCCGCGAGGGGGAGCCAAUCCCACAAAGCCGGUCGUAGUCCGGAUCGCAGUCUGCAACUCGACUGCGUGAAGUCGGAAUCGCUAGUAAUCGCGGAUCAGCAUGUCGCGGUGAAUACGUUCCCGGGUCUU
RNAcentral lists this ribosomal RNA (466 nucleotides) under uncultured Allobrachymonas sp. RNAcentral's name for it is "bacterial SSU rRNA". It matches the Rfam family "Bacterial small subunit ribosomal RNA", at positions 919 to 1382 of the family's 1533-position model. Lineage: Bacteria; Pseudomonadati; Pseudomonadota; Betaproteobacteria; Burkholderiales; Comamonadaceae. The record is from RNAcentral.